This 102-nucleotide microRNA precursor is filed under the name Marmota monax (woodchuck). Lineage: Eukaryota; Metazoa; Chordata; Mammalia; Rodentia; Sciuridae. The record is from RNAcentral.
UGUGGGAUAGCUGGGUCAAAUGGUGGUUCCAUUCCCAGUUUUUAAGGAUUCUCCAUACUACUUUCAAUAUUGGUUGCACCAAUCUGCAGUUCCACAAGCAAU